CGUACCCCAAACCGACACAGGUGGUCAGGUAGAGAAUACCAAGGCGCUUGAGAGAACUCGGGUGAAGGAACUAGGCAAAAUGGUGCCGUAACUUCGGGAGAAGGCACGCUGAUAUGUAGGUGAAGUCCCUCGCGGAUGGAGCUGAAAUCAGUCGAAGAUACCAGCUGGCUGCAACUGUUUAUUAAAAACACAGCACUGUGCAAACACGAAAGUGGACGUAUACGGUGUGACGCCUGCCCGGUGCCGGAAGGUUAAUUGAUGGG
RNAcentral lists this ribosomal RNA (263 nucleotides) under Escherichia coli. Its description in RNAcentral is "partial 23S ribosomal RNA". It matches the Rfam family "Bacterial large subunit ribosomal RNA", at positions 1643 to 1888 of the family's 2925-position model. The record is from RNAcentral. Lineage: Bacteria; Pseudomonadati; Pseudomonadota; Gammaproteobacteria; Enterobacterales; Enterobacteriaceae.